UAUUGUAUUAUUUGCGGCAUUCUACACCAGGAAUAUCUGAAAAUGCGCGUAAAAAAAGUGCACAUACCUUGUAUUAGAGACCUGGAUGAAAGGUUCUCUUAAUUAAGGUUUUACUUUCAGGUUGAACGUCUGCUAACCGCCAGAGAGGAGAGUAUAGCAGAGGCCCGGAGGAUGGCAGAAACCUCUGCCAGACUUAGAGAUAUUCUCAGAAAGCAGAAUUUGAGUUCUCUAAUGAACGAUGAACUUUGCUGGAAAUUUUCAAGAAAAUGAAUUUUUUUGUUUUGAUAUAAAGUUUUUCAACAAAUAUAUGUCACCGCAUGUU
This is a long non-coding RNA of Eurytemora carolleeae, 322 nucleotides long. RefSeq lists it as uncharacterized. The record is from RefSeq and is a predicted model, not a curated record. NCBI's taxonomy places the organism in Eukaryota, Metazoa, Arthropoda, Copepoda, Calanoida, Temoridae. The transcript has 2 exons.